CCCUUAGCUUUUUUUGAGUAAUUUUGCAAAAAAAUAAAUUGAUUUAUUUUAAUGCCAAUUGAUUGAAAUACGUUUCUUUUCAUUGAAAUAAUGCUUUAAAUACAAAAAAGACAAAAAAAAACAAAAAAUAAAUUCUAAAAAUUUUGAAAAUUUUCCCCUACUCCCCCCUUAGCUUUUUUUGAGUAAUUUUGCAAAAAAAAAUAAAUUGAUUUAUUUUAAUGCCAAUUGAUUGAAAUACGUUUCUUUUCACUCAAAUAAUGCUUUAAAUACAAAAAAGACCAAAAAAAAACAGAAAAUAAAUUCUUAAAAAUUUUGAAAAUUUUCCCCUACUCCAUCCUUAGCUUUUUUUGAGUAAUUUUGCAAAAAAAAAAUUGAUUUAUUUUAAUGCCAAUUGAUUGAAAUACGUUUCUUUUCACUCAAAUAAUGCUUUAAAUACAAAAAAGACCAAAAAAAAACAAAAAAUAAAUUGUACAAAUUUUGAAAAUUUUCCCCCCCUCCCCCUAAGCUUUUUUUGAGUAAUUUUGCAAAAAAAAUUAAUUGAUUUAUUUUAAUGCCAAUUGAUUGAAAUACGUUUCUUUUCACUCAAAUAAUGCUUUAAAUACAAAAAAGACCAAAAAAAACAAAAAAUAAAUUCUAAAAAUUUUAAAAAUUUUUCCCUACUCCCCCCUUAGCUUUUUUUGAGUAAUUUUGCACAAAAAAAUAAAUUGAUUUAUUUUAAUGCCAAUUGAUUGAAAUACGUUUCUUUUCACUCAAAUAAUGCUUUAAAUACAAAAAAGACCAAAAAAAAACAAAAAAAAAAUUCUAAAAAUUUUGAAAAUUUUCCCCUACUCCCUCCUUACUUUUUUUGAGUAAUUUUGCAAAAAAAAAAUAAAUUGAUUUUUUUUA
This is a long non-coding RNA of Anopheles funestus (African malaria mosquito), 885 nucleotides long. RefSeq lists it as uncharacterized. The record is from RefSeq and is a predicted model, not a curated record. The transcript has 2 exons. Lineage: Eukaryota; Metazoa; Arthropoda; Insecta; Diptera; Culicidae.